CAGCACCUCGAGUGGUCAGGAUGAUUAUUGGGCCUAAAGCAUCCGUAGCCGGCGCUGUAAGUUUUCGGUUAAAUCUGUACGCUCAACGUACAGGCUGCCGGGAAUACUGCAGCGCUAGGGAGUGGGAGAGGUAGACGGUACUCGGUAGGAAGGGGUAAAAUCCUUUGAUCUAUUGAUGACCACCUGUGGCGAAGGCGGUCUACCAGAACACGUCCGACGGUGAGGGAUGAAAGCAGGGGGAGCAAACCGGAUUAGAUACCCGAGUAGUCC
RNAcentral lists this ribosomal RNA (270 nucleotides) under uncultured archaeon. RNAcentral describes it as "partial 16S ribosomal RNA". It matches the Rfam family "Archaeal small subunit ribosomal RNA", at positions 477 to 747 of the family's 1478-position model. The record is from RNAcentral.